This is a long non-coding RNA of Carassius auratus (goldfish), 1678 nucleotides long. NCBI's taxonomy places the organism in Eukaryota, Metazoa, Chordata, Actinopteri, Cypriniformes, Cyprinidae. The record is from Ensembl.
GUGUGUGUGCAAACAAUUCACCAAUUUUAUCCGGACAAUAUGACAAAUGCAGUCAGACAGCAAUCAAUAUUGAUGUAUGUGCAGCAGGACCACAGAACAUCUCAUGGUAAGUUUAGACACAGACUGGAAAAGAAUAUGGUGUAGCAUGCUUACAUUAAUCCUGAUUAAGUAAGAUACAAUCUAAAAAUCUUUUUAUUAAACAAUCAUUUUUUCAUUCUUGGUCUUCUGUCUCAUUUUCUUGUCAUUCUUUUUCAUAGUGGGAACAAUACAAAUGUGAUUAUUCCACUGGCUACUGGUCUUCAGGACAUCUGUCCUACUAGUCCACCACCGCAAACAUGUAAUUGUUCCUCACGCUGCAAUAACUCAGAUUUCUACUAUUACCAUUUUAAUGUACGGUGGAACCAAUACUUGGAAUCCAACUUGGCGCCCCAGUUUGUGAGUAUCAUGUGUAGAAUUAAAGUCAGAACGCUGGAUGUUCAUUCAUAAUCUACAUACUGAUUUGUGAUAGUGCUAUUGAUCCUUGUUUUGAUGUUUUUUGUUAUUCAUAUUUUUCUACAGUUUUUGGACUUGGCAUGCAGCAACAUGCCGUGAGUUGAGACCAUUUUUAUUGCAUCUUUUUGUUUUCAAAAAGACAAAGCAAAUAAAUCUACCAGCUGAACUACAGAAUAUCUACUAAAAUAUGAUAAAGACUUUAGUAAUUCAUUUUAACAGUCCUCUUCUACUUCUGCAUUUUAGAUCUGCAAGUAACAGUUCGCAGACUCGCAUGUGUCACUUUCUGGACGUAGGUGUGUUUGAUUGCAUAAAAAGCAAUCAGGGCAAUACCGAGGCCCCUGCAAUCAAGUGUAGUGUUAUAGUGAAACUAGACACAGCUAUGGACCCGUGUGACGUUCUCUCAAUUGUAGAGGAUAUCUCUGAACUUCAGAAAAACUUCACCUUAGAUGGAGUUGUGAGCAGAGUAGCGGUCUGCUCUUAUUCUUCGGAUCCUUUAAGCCAGAAUUUCAUGUGGAACCCGUCUUUAAGUACAAAUUUCAGUUCUGAAAGCUGCAUGGAGACAGAUUUGUGGACAGAUUACUGCUUAACAGGCGUUAAUGAAGGCAGGUCAAGUAUUGUCAUUCCCCUGAAUGGCAGCUGUAAUUCAUCUGCACCCACUUUUACAAACAGUACCACAACUCCUCCUUUCACAAGUACCCCCCUCUCGAACACAACCAUCCUCAAUGCUACAACAGAGUCUGUGAAUGUAACAACUUCUCCUGCUAAUGUAACAGCCUCAGGGACAUUAGAUGCUGAAGGAUUGUUGAAGUUAAGUGCAAAUGCCUCGUCUUUAAACGGCUCUCAGGUGGACCAGAUUUUAUCACAGCUAGAGUCGCUCCUCUCUGGGCCCAACAUCAGCCUGGCAGUGGCAAACACUUCUGUCGGUAUCGUCAACAACCUCCUCGAUGUUCCUGUAGCUGUAAUAACUCCUUUCUCAAAGAGGGCCAUUGGGGUUGUGGACACAGUGGGUCUUAAACUGGUUGUGUCAGGAACGAGUCAGUCAAUAGUUUCACAGUCACUGGCUCUGGCAGUGAAGAAAGUCGAUGGGACCAACUUUCAGGAGACGUCCUUCUCCCUAACCGAAGCAUCUAGCGUGCAGGUAACAUCUCCAUCAAUAAUUCUUAUUCAUCUUACAGACUACAGAUAA